CUUCUCAUCGCGCAACUCUUUCUGCAGCUCGUCUUUCUCUUGCUCCAGCACUGCAAUCUAUAAACGACAAGAGUCAACUUGCCACAGACACCCUACGUGGUGACCUUGCAGCUGCUCGAGCGAUGGGCCGUUGCUUGCCUGCAGAGCUUUUCUCAUGCCAAAAACCACACUGCUCUCGUAGAAGGUCUGGUAAGCGGCUAUGGUCAUCUGGAUCUCAUCUCGGACCCGCAACAGCAAGUGACCCCGCUCGGCGCAGUUGAUGGUCACCUGCCUGAUCAGCUCAUCUACACAAAGAGAGCAGCUUUAAUCAUGACGUAGCCCUCCUUCCAGAUUUAACCUUCUGAACACAGAAAAUUUAGAGUGUACGCCUUCAGAGUAGUGCCACGUUGCAUUAGCAACAUGCCCACAUAAGUGUAAUUCUGAUAACAGAUGUUCUGCUGCUUGGAGUUGCCAGUUUCCUGAUUUAGUUUAGUUUCACUUUUUGAGAUGGGGAGGCUGGCCGUCAUGACUGAAGAUGUAUGGCUGGCUAUUAUUACUCAAACUCACUCGAUGAGCAAGUUCAACUGCAAGCUGGGUGCGAUUCCUGAGCUCCUUCACAAAAUGGGUGCCAACUUGAAGAAGCUGUCAGCUCGCCUCUGCGAAUAAUUGACCACAAAUUUGGCUAUUUGAUGCCACGAGCGGCAUCAAAGACUUGAGGCAGACACAAAAUUAAAGUCUGCUUGUCCUUAAACAAUUGUUACCUUCAUUGGCAUUGGCCUUGGGAAGGGUUCUUAUCUUCCGGAUUGCAGAGCCUCCUUACCGAAGCACUGGGUAUAGAGCUCUCUUCGAACAGGGCAUAUUCCCGUCUCUAUGGCCCUUCGUUGCUGCAGUUUCCUGUCCAGGAGCUCCUCGAGGUUCACCACGUCCGCUCUGGUGCACGGCGCGCUGGACACUUGCUGCACCCACAGCUGGUUUCCCUCCAGCCAUUCCCUGGCAUGAUAAAACAAUGAAAGAUUAAGGAAGGCUGAAUUAGUCAAGUGACACGACAUGGAAAGCAGGGAAGGGGGCGGGUAUACCUGGGUGGAAAGAUGAGGUUAAGUAUGUCAUCAUUUUGUUGCCUUGGGGCUUCAGCUGCAGAGGAUUUAACUUUAGGGGGUGGAGGCACCGGGGAGUCGGCAUGCGCUUGGUUGCUGACUUUAAAAGGACGGCCCCCCUGUAAAAAAUAUCACAUUACAAUACCUGGAAAUUUUGUGUUUCUUUGAGUGCUGUCUUGACAUUUUUUAAUUGUCAUGUUUACACGAACAGUUUUAUGUAUAGCACUUUCUAAAAAUCAUUCGAUGUGACAGGUGCUCAGUGAGUCACAAAAUGAGGUACAAAGACUCCCUGAAGUGAUAAACAAAUUGCGCAACUAAAUACAAAUGAAAUUGGCAACCUUUAAAACAUGAAAUAUAUUCAGUUGAAUAUAUUUUUUUUAAUCCUGUACAAUGAAGCUAUCAUGCAUGAUUUUGGAACGUGGGAAGAAAGCGGAGUACUCAGAGAAAACCUAAUCACAGAUUCAAACCCAGAAUCUGUCGGCUGUGAGGCAGAUGUGCUCCACUUGGAUGCUGCGCUGUCAAUAAAUAAAUAUAUUAAUUAUA
Molecule: long non-coding RNA, 1616 nt
Organism: Syngnathus acus (greater pipefish)
Lineage: Eukaryota; Metazoa; Chordata; Actinopteri; Syngnathiformes; Syngnathidae
Exons: 2
Source: RefSeq, a predicted model, not a curated record